This 487-nucleotide ribosomal RNA is filed under the name uncultured bacterium. Its description in RNAcentral is "bacterial SSU rRNA". It matches the Rfam family "Bacterial small subunit ribosomal RNA", at positions 28 to 526 of the family's 1533-position model. The record is from RNAcentral.
AAUGAACGUUGGCGGCGUGGAUUAGGCAUGCAAGUCGCGCGAGAAACCUCCUUCGGGAGGCGGAAAGCGGCGAAAGGGAGAGUAACACGUGGAUACCUACCCCCAGGUCUGGGAUAGCAGCGGGAAACUGCUGGUAAUACCGGAUAAUGUCUCCGGACCAAAGGUGAGAUUCCGUCUGGGGAUGGGUCCGCGUCCUAUUAGCUAGUUGGUGGGGUAAUGGCCUACCAAGGCAAAGAUGGGUAGCGGGUGUGAGAGCAUGGCCCGCCUCACUGGGACUGAGACACUGCCCAGACACCUACGGGUGGCUGCAGUCGAGAAUCUUCGGCAAUGGGCGCAAGCCUGACCGAGCGACGCCGCGUGCGGGAUGAAGGCCUUCGGGUUGUAAACCGCUGUCAGAGGGGAGGAAAUACCAGGGGGUUCUCUCCCUGGCUUGACCGAUCCUCAGAGGAAGUACGGGCUAAGUUCGUGCCAGCCGCCGCCGUAACAC